RNAcentral lists this ribosomal RNA (699 nucleotides) under uncultured Staphylococcus sp. RNAcentral's name for it is "bacterial SSU rRNA". It matches the Rfam family "Bacterial small subunit ribosomal RNA", at positions 58 to 739 of the family's 1533-position model. Lineage: Bacteria; Bacillati; Bacillota; Bacilli; Caryophanales; Staphylococcaceae. The record is from RNAcentral.
CAAGUCGAGCGAACGGACGAGAAGCUUGCUUCUCUGAUGUUAGCGGCGGACGGGUGAGUAACACGUGGAUAACCUACCUAUAAGACUGGGAUAACUUCGGGAAACCGGAGCUAAUACCGGAUAAUAUUUUGAACCGCAUGGUUCAAAAGUGAAAGACGGUCUUGCUGUCACUUAUAGAUGGAUCCGCGCUGCAUUAGCUAGUUGGUAAGGUAACGGCUUACCAAGGCAACGAUGCAUAGCCGACCUGAGAGGGUGAUCGGCCACACUGGAACUGAGACACGGUCCAGACUCCUACGGGAGGCAGCAGUAGGGAAUCUUCCGCAAUGGGCGAAAGCCUGACGGAGCAACGCCGCGUGAGUGAUGAAGGUCUUCGGAUCGUAAAACUCUGUUAUUAGGGAAGAACAUAUGUGUAAGUAACUGUGCACAUCUUGACGGUACCUAAUCAGAAAGCCACGGCUAACUACGUGCCAGCAGCCGCGGUAAUACGUAGGUGGCAAGCGUUAUCCGGAAUUAUUGGGCGUAAAGCGCGCGUAGGCGGUUUUUUAAGUCUGAUGUGAAAGCCCACGGCUCAACCGUGGAGGGUCAUUGGAAACUGGAAAACUUGAGUGCAGAAGAGGAAAGUGGAAUUCCAUGUGUAGCGGUGAAAUGCGCAGAGAUAUGGAGGAACACCAGUGGCGAAGGCGACUUUCUGGUCUGUAA